This is a long non-coding RNA of Canis lupus familiaris (dog), 2954 nucleotides long. RefSeq lists it as uncharacterized. NCBI's taxonomy places the organism in Eukaryota, Metazoa, Chordata, Mammalia, Carnivora, Canidae. The record is from RefSeq and is a predicted model, not a curated record. The transcript is spliced from 3 exons.
AAGAAAGAAAGAAAAGAAAGGGAGGAAAGAAAGAAAGACAGGCAGCCAAGAGGUCCUGUCCUGGUCCCCGCAAUGCACUGUGUGAUGUGGGGCAAGUCACUUUCCCUCUGAGACUCACUUGUCUUUGAAAUAAAAAGGUAGUAGGAUUAGAUACUCUCUAAAGCCCAUCUAGCUGGUAGUCUAUGGACAUAAAUAGAAAGACAAGGUGCACCUAACUGUGGGAGAAGAGCAGGGAUCAGCAGACGGGGUCCCAAAUGGGCAGUGCAAUGGAUCGAUGCUGAGGCGGAGGCCCUCCUGGAGAAGCAGUCCACAGUCACAUAAUUAGGACACGCACAUAAUUAGGAAGUAGGCAGUCUGGAACCCCUGCACUGUCCUACCUCCUGUCUACUUGACUAGAACAGUGCGUCCAUCCCCAGGAGACUCGAUGCCCUAGACUGUCCUCCCAGACCUGGCCUCCUCAGCCAGUGGUUUUCAAAUUCCAAUGAGCACAGGAGCCUCAGGCCCCAUAUCCAGAGAUUCUGGUUUUGGACUGUGCAGAUCAUUAGACCAUAUUUUGAGAAACCCUAUGACAAUGACUUCUGUUCUAGAUCUAUAGUGGCUGCUCCCACUGGUGAAUAAACUGAUUUGCACUGAGAUGUUAGUGGCUAAUAAUGUUUUGACAUGUCUCCCUCAAGGAGCAUUUGCAGAAACAGAGUUCAGAAAGUGACAGACUACCAGGGGUAGAAGCGGGAGUAGUUUGGGGACAGAGUGUCCCUCUGUCAGCUCUUAAAUUAUAGUCCUUAAACAAUCCUGGGUGACCCGAUGGGGGGGUGCCCACGAAUCAAAGAGGAAUCUGGGCAGGAGUGCUACAGAGGCAGCGGACAAAGCCACUCGGGGACAUCUGCGGGGAGCAGAUGGGUUGGGUCAUAUGCUGUUUCAGGUCCACGUCAUCUUGAGGGCAUUUUGAGCAGAGAACAUCUUCGUUUCAUUCCAGCGCUACUUCAUCCUGUAUUCAAGGCUGCUGUAAUAGGAUAAUGGCCCCAUUUCAACCCACCAAGUACAAAGUCAUCUACAACUGUGCCAAGACUUAGAUUUCCGGAAUGAAUUCAGGUCCUCACACUCUUCCACUAUUAAUGCUAACCCAUCUUCUCCACCAGAGAAAUUGCUGCAGGGACCAGACACCCAGAAAGGGAACAGCUGGGCAGCAGACAUUUCCAAGGCCGUCAGCUGCUCUGCCAGCUUGUCUCUCCCUCCUUCUCACAAACACCCUGCUGAGAGCCAGAGGAGCAGCCUCAUGAGGGCAAUAAGGGGGCUAAGAGGGGUGCAAGUGGGUCAGUGAUCCCUAAACUACCCAGAAAAGCCAAGGAGGGAUGGGGUGGCAAGCACGUGCAGCUUAGGAAGGAUCCUGAGUAAUUCUCACACACUCUUGAGCUCAACCCACUUGAAAUCCCUGAAAGUAGGUGACCCGAAGUCCCUUCAAGUUCAAAAAUGCCAGACCUCUGUGCAUGGCCUCUCUGGUCACCCAGCACCACUCAGGCUUCUGGAAGGCAGCUGUGCAAGGCUGGCCAAAGCAGCCAACUUCAGUUUCCUUAUCUCUAGAAGUGAAGAGCUCUCCAGCCUGGAGAUAAUCCAGCAGAGUGUGGAUGUGGCUAGAAAGAGAAACAGGGAUCCAGCCAUGAAGGGCCUUUGAAGGAUUUUCUUGGGAACAUGCAGUACAUCCUGAAAAGUUCUGGGAGGCAGGCAAAACCAAGAUGGGCUCUGGAUUCAAACUACCUGGUUUUCCAUCCUGCCUCCAUCACUUACCAGCUGGGCCGCAAUCUACACAAGAACCACGCUCCUCGUCUAUAAAACGGCGAUAGCUACGAUGCUUGGGCCACAGCAUGUGGCUGAGGUGAGGCACAGGCCUUGUUGACUGAUCUGACAUCCGCACGGGGUGGGGAGGAGCUGGGCCUGGCCCCUGAGUUCUCCUGUUCCACUAACAGUUACUGAGCAUCUACCAGGUGCCAAGGCCCGAGCAUACAGCUGAGAACAGAAACAGAUGUGCCGUCACAGAGCUUCCACUCUAGCGGGAAGGGAAUAAAUAAGCAAUUAAGCAUAGGACUUGAUGUCAAGGGACAAUAAGAGGAAAAUAUGGGAAGAGAAAGGAGAGAGUGUGUCUGGGAUGGAGGACAAGGCAGAUUGUUUCUGUUGGGUAGUGCCGAGGAGGUGACAUUUGAGCAGAGAACUGAGUAAGGUAAGGAGACAAGCUGUGGAAAUAAGAUGUGGGGGAAGGGAACUUUCUAGACAGAGGGAAGAGCAAAUGCAAAGGCCCUGGGGUCGAAUGAGCAUGCUUAUCUUAGAGGGUGAGCAGAGGGGAGACAGAUGAAGGAAGGAGACAGAAAAUUAGCAAGAGGCCAGGUCAGUUAGGACCUCUAGGCCAAUGAGAGGCUUUCAAUUUUGUUCCUGAGUGUGACAGGAAAUCACGAAAGGGUUUUGAGCAGGGAAGGGGCAUGACCUAGGACCUGCAGAGGGCUCCCAAUGCUGGGUGGGGAGAGACUGAGGGCAGAGCAGGGACACAGAUGAGGAGGGCUGUCACAGCUCAGGUGAGGGAGGAUAGUGGCCUGGACCAGGGUAACGGUCCAGAUGAUGGGAAAAUAUAAGAAUUGGGAUGUGUUUGGAAGGUAAGACUAACAGGAAUGGCUCGUGGUUUGAGACACGGCUCGUGAUAUGAGAGAGGAAGCAAGGAGAGCUCCCAAAGUCUGUGUGGGUGACCGGUGAUCGGUGGUGCCCUGCUGCUACUGAGCUUUUCUAAGUUGCCUGUUAUCCAUGAGGACCACUGUUCUACUACCUUCCCUACCUGGGAUUUUCCAAGCAGAUGGGUAGUUAUCUAUCUAUCUAUCUAUCUAUCUAUCUAUCUAUCUAUCUAUCUGUCAUCUAUCUAUCAUCUAUCUAUCUAAGAGUGAGUUAGGGCCCCUGGGUGGCUCAGUGAUUGAGUG